Molecule: ribosomal RNA, 1482 nt
Filed under: Triticum aestivum (bread wheat)
Lineage: Eukaryota; Viridiplantae; Streptophyta; Magnoliopsida; Poales; Poaceae
Description: partial small subunit ribosomal RNA
Source: RNAcentral
AUGGCUACUACUAGCUGCUGGUUCUUGGUGUUCGUAUUGGUAGUAUGGUGGUUGCCGCUGAUGCUCGCCGGGCCUGAGGACCAGCAAGUGGAAAACUGCCCGGCCAAGACGUGCGGCAACCUCAUCAUCUCCCACCCGUUCUGGAUCCUCAACAUGGAGACUACAAGAUCGUGUGGUUCAUUGGAUUUUGAGGUCGUUUGCCUCAACGACAGUAUUCCACUCCUCCGGAGCUCUGUGCUCUUCGGCUUUGCAAUCAGGGACAUCUCCUACGAGGAACACAGUUUGCAUGCCGUUGAUCUACACAAAGAAACAUACUUCAAAAAAGAAGAGGAAGACUUCAACGUCUCCAAAAGUUGCCAUUUCCCGAGAUGGAACACCUCCGUCAAACUAGCACCCCCGUUUAAGGUCACCCCCGCCAACGUCAACCUCAUCUUCUACAACUGCACGAAGACAGUGGCGCUGGUGGAGGUGAGAUGCCCGAACGCGAGCAACAUGUUUGUUCGUGCGGGAGUGCCCCACGACGCGACCGGUAACUAUGCCGGCUACGCGCUAGAGGGCUGCAAUGCUACCGUCGUGCCGGUGAUGGGCUCGUCGUCGGGCUCGGCGAACGCAAGCGACUACGAGCAGCUCAUCGAAGAUGAUUUCCUCCUGACAUGGGAUCUACCCUCUCCAGUACAUAUACUAUCAUUCUUCAACCACGGCAUCCUCUCAUACACAUAUCUCCACCGCCCCACGGCCAAAUCUUCAGUUCUGAUGGCUACCUCAAGCUGUUGGCUCUUGGUGUUCGUCUGGGUAAUAUGGCGGUUGCCAUUGAUGCUCGCCGAGCCUGAGGUGCGGCAAGGGAAAGGCUGCUCGGCCAAGAGGUGCGGCCACCUCAAUAUCUCACACCCGUUCUGGCUCCCCGACAUGGAGGCGGGAAGAUCGUGUGGCCCCUUGGAUUUUGUGGUCAAUUGCAACAACAGUGUUCCAGUUCUAAAGAGCUCUGGAUUAACUGGCUUUGCAAUUCUCAACAUCUCCUACGAGAAACGAAAUCUGCGUGUCAUCGAUGUCUACAAAGAGGAAGACUUUAAAGACUCCAAGAGCUGCCAUUUUCCCGGAUGGAACACCUCCGGCAAACUGGCACUCCCGUUUAAGGUCAGCCCCGCCAAUCUGAAUCUCAUCUUCUACAACUGCACAAAGCCGCCGACGGAUGAGGGCAGGGCGUUGGGGGAGAUGAGAUGCGGGAACGCGAGCAACACGUUUGUUCGCGCGGGAGUGCGUUUUGAUGUGACGGGGAACUACGGCGGCUAUGUCUUAGAGGGCUGCAAUGCGACGGUCGUGCCAGUGAUGGACUCGUCGGGCAAGGCCAAGGCGAGCGACUACGAGCGGCUCAUCAGCGGUGGCUACAUCAUGACAUGGGAUCAUCCGGAACCUCUUCCUGCACCUCUACCUGUCCCUACGCCUUCACCUGCACGUAAGUUCACCCGCCGACUCAUCUUUUAA